GCCAGACUCCUACGGGAGGCAGCAGUGAGGAAUAUUGGUCAAUGGGCGGGAGCCUGAACCAGCCAAGUCGCGUGAGGGAUGACGGCCCUAUGGGUUGUAAACCUCUUUUGCCGGGGAGCAAAGUGCCGCACGUGUGCGGUUUGGAGAGUACCCGGAGAAAAAGCAUCGGCUAACUCCGUGCCAGCAGCCGCGGUAAUACGUAGGGAGCAAGCGUUAUCCGGAUUUAUUGGGUGUAAAGGGUGCGUAGACGGGAAAACAAGUUAGUUGUGAAAUCCCUCGGCUUAACUGAGGAACUGCAACUAAAACUAUUUUUCUUGAGUGUUGGAGAGGAAAGUGGAAUUCCUAGUGUAGCGGUGAAAUGCGUAGAUAUUAGGAGGAACACCAGUGGCGAAGGCGACUUUCUGGACAAUAACUGACGUUGAGGCACGAAAGUGUGGGGAGCAAACAGGAUUAGAUACCCGAGUAC
RNAcentral lists this ribosomal RNA (466 nucleotides) under uncultured bacterium. RNAcentral describes it as "bacterial SSU rRNA". It matches the Rfam family "Bacterial small subunit ribosomal RNA", at positions 330 to 793 of the family's 1533-position model. The record is from RNAcentral.